AGCUUUUUGAAUUCGUGCUGAGGUUUCGUCAGACGCCAAAAUAUUAGGGUUGAUCAGACUUCCAAGAUAAGUGAAGUU
This is a non-coding RNA of Schistosoma mattheei, 78 nucleotides long. NCBI's taxonomy places the organism in Eukaryota, Metazoa, Platyhelminthes, Trematoda, Strigeidida, Schistosomatidae. The record is from Rfam.